CUCCAUUUUGCUAUCUUCAGGAUAACAAAAACACAUAAUUUCCUUGAUUUCUUCUUACUUUCUGUAACUAGCCACUUGCUUGAGCUAAGGAAUGCAUUAUCUAAACACAGACACUAGUGACAGAGAAGACUAAGUAAUUAAUUUUACUUUCUAAAUUUUACAAGGUUCCAUUGUAAGUAAGGGGUGAAAUUGAGUUUAGAACUGUCAAUUUUACAAGUUACAAUCAAAGUAGUUGCCACAAAGACUGGGACAAA
Pelobates cultripes (western spadefoot toad) is the source of this 254-nucleotide non-coding RNA. NCBI's taxonomy places the organism in Eukaryota, Metazoa, Chordata, Amphibia, Anura, Pelobatidae. The record is from the annotation of a GenBank genome assembly.